This 497-nucleotide ribosomal RNA is filed under the name uncultured bacterium. RNAcentral's name for it is "partial 16S ribosomal RNA". It matches the Rfam family "Bacterial small subunit ribosomal RNA", at positions 28 to 507 of the family's 1533-position model. The record is from RNAcentral.
GAUGAACGCUGGCGGCGUGCCUAAUACAUGCAAGUCGAGCGAACAGACGAGGAUCUUGCUCCUCUGACGUUAGCGGCGGACGGGUGAGUAACACGUGGAUCACCUAUCUAUAAGACUGGGAUAACUUCGGGAACCCGGAGCUAAUACCGGAUAAUAUAUUGAACCGCAUGGUUCAAUAGUGAAAGGCGGUUUUGCUGUCACUUAUAGAUGGUUCCGCGCCGCAUUAGCUAGUUGGUAAGGUAAUGGCUUACCAAGGCAACGAUGCGUAGCCGACCUGAGAGGGUGAUCGGCCACACUGGAACUGAGACACGGUCCAGACUCCUACGGGAGGCAGCAGUAGGGAAUCUGCAGCAAUGGGCGAAAGCCUGACGGAGCAACGCCGCGUGAGUGAUGAAGGUCUUCGGAUCGUAAAACUCUGUUAUUAGGGAAGAACAAAUGUGUAAGUAACUAUGCACGUCUUGACGGUACCUAAUCAGAAAGCCACGGCUAACUACGUG